GCAGACCAACUUGCUUCGGAUGUAUACCUCAUUUCUUUGACCAAUUCAACAAUGAAGUCACAGAAAAAUGCGAAUGUCGUAACGGUGAACUACCUGUGCAAUGCUCCGACAAUCCUUGUCGACAGAAAAAAUGCCGUAGGCAUCCCAAAGCAGUUUGUCGUACAAAUACAUGUGGAAAAUGUGAGGCUAUUUUCUACGAUCGUUUUGGAAACGAAGUCAAUUGUAAACCAGUAUGCAAGCAAGAAAAAUAUCCAGGACCGUGCAAAGCC
Non-coding RNA from Styela clava, 269 nucleotides. NCBI's taxonomy places the organism in Eukaryota, Metazoa, Chordata, Ascidiacea, Stolidobranchia, Styelidae. The record is from RefSeq and is a predicted model, not a curated record.